Molecule: ribosomal RNA, 117 nt
Filed under: Pogona vitticeps (central bearded dragon)
Lineage: Eukaryota; Metazoa; Chordata; Lepidosauria; Squamata; Agamidae
Source: RNAcentral
GCAUUUGCUCACACCACUGUGAACACAUCUGGUCUUGUCUGAUUUCAGCAGAUAAGCACGAUAGGGCCUGGUUAGCACUCAUGGGACACUACCACACAACGUUGGACAUACAGUGGU